RNAcentral lists this ribosomal RNA (425 nucleotides) under Afipia sp. oral taxon 636. Its description in RNAcentral is "bacterial SSU rRNA". It matches the Rfam family "Bacterial small subunit ribosomal RNA", at positions 29 to 496 of the family's 1533-position model. The record is from RNAcentral. Lineage: Bacteria; Pseudomonadati; Pseudomonadota; Alphaproteobacteria; Hyphomicrobiales; Nitrobacteraceae.
AGCGAACGCUGGCGGCAGGCUUAACACAUGCAAGUCGAACGGGCACUUCGGUGCUAGUGGCAGACGGGUGAGUAACACGUGGGAACGUACCUUUCGGUUCGGAAUAAUUCAGGGAAACUUGGACUAAUACCGGAUACGCCCUUCGGGGGAAAGAUUUAUCGCCGAUAGAUCGGCCCGCGUCUGAUUAGCUAGUUGGUGAGGUAAUGGCUCACCAAGGCGACGAUCAGUAGCUGGUCUGAGAGGAUGAUCAGCCACAUUGGGACUGAGACACGGCCCAAACUCCUACGGGAGGCAGCAGUGGGGAAUAUUGGACAAUGGGCGCAAGCCUGAUCCCAGCCCAUGCCGCGUGAGUGAUGAAGGCCUUAGGGUUGUAAAGCUCUUUUGUCCCGGGAAGAUAAUGACUGUACCCGAAGAAUAAGCCCCGC